GUGCUCGCUUCUGCAGCACAUAUACUAAAAUUGGAAUGACACAUAGAAGAUUAACAUGGCCCCUGUGCAAGGAUGACAUGCAAAUUCAUGAAGCGUUCCAUAUUUUU
Small nuclear RNA from Pan paniscus (pygmy chimpanzee), 107 nucleotides. The record is from Ensembl. Lineage: Eukaryota; Metazoa; Chordata; Mammalia; Primates; Hominidae.